RNAcentral lists this long non-coding RNA (641 nucleotides) under Homo sapiens (human). RNAcentral's name for it is "HRG and FETUB antisense RNA 1". Lineage: Eukaryota; Metazoa; Chordata; Mammalia; Primates; Hominidae. The record is from RNAcentral.
UGCCUGGAGUGAAGAUUCUGCCCAUUGGUCAAGAGACCUCCCUCUCAGAUGCUGGCUCUGCCCCUGCCUUUGGGGGUCGACCCUUGUACUCGCAGGACCUUAGGUGACUCUCCCCUAGAAGCAGGCAGUACAGAGCACAGCAGCUACUUAUCCCCACCUUACAGAUGAGAUGACUGAGAAGGGAGAACCAGCACUGCAAAAUCCUAGACUCCUGACUUGGAGUUCAGUACUCUUUGAUUCUACUUCUCUGAUCAUCCAGGAAGCCAACCUGCCUGAGGACGAGUCAUACUCUGUCCUCCCACCCCAGGCCAGAGAGUGGUAUCUGUCUUUCCACAAGUUGGAUCUGAAUGAUGCAGUGUCGCAAUCCCAUUUUAUAAAUGAGGCAACCAAAACUCGAACAGGACCAUAUUGCGACUGAAACAAGGCAUAACAGGUCUUUGACUGGCUAUCCUGUGGAUGUGGACUCAGGCUAGCCUGCGCAAAGUGAAAGACAGGCAAUUAGAUUGAAAAAUACCUGUGAUUCAAAGAAGUCACAAGUCACAGAGACAAACUUUUCCCAGUGUGUUCGAGUCAGAGAACCUUUGCAAAGACCAACAGGCUAAAAGAGAAAAUACAAUGUCAUGACACAGCUAGAAUAUGUU